GACAGUGACGCAGUUCGCCCAAGUUCGCCCGCCGGUGCUGGGGCCUGGGGCGCCGCCUGUUUCGCGUUCGCGUCCGCGAUUGCACAUUUCAAGCUCAAAGUUGAACGCUCUACAACAAAAGAUUGUCUCUGUACCGCCGAAAGGAACUGGGCAGGUGUUCAACCAUCGUUCAACACUACUUUUCAGUAUGUGGAGUGAUUUCUGAUGUGUGUUGCUUCGGAGGAGGUGGGGCAGGGAGCGGGAGAUUCAUUAAAUCUAAAGUGAGAAAGUGUUAAAAUUCACCCAAAGACGUCAUGGAUUCUUCAAGCGACGGUCUGUUUCAGCUUUGAAACCAUCUGGACGACAUAAUUUGGGUAGAGGGCUGUCUCUGUCCCAUUCGGAGACUUUGCAGCAAGAGGAUCGGAGUGUUUUCACCUCCCGAGCAAAGCGAGCAUAAGACCUCCAUCACUCAUUUUGUAAACAAUCCGAGAAUAACACCACUCUACAAAACGAU
Molecule: long non-coding RNA, 493 nt
Organism: Frankliniella occidentalis (western flower thrips)
Lineage: Eukaryota; Metazoa; Arthropoda; Insecta; Thysanoptera; Thripidae
Exons: 3
Source: RefSeq, a predicted model, not a curated record